AAUUUACUUUAUUAUCCGCCAGAAUACUACAAGCGCUAGCUUAAAAUCCAAAGGACUUGGCGGUGCUUCAGACCCACCUAGAGGAGCCUGUUCUGCAACCGAUAAUCCCCGUUAAACCCCACCACCUCUUGCCAUUACCGCCUAUAUACCGCCGUCGUCAGCUCACCCUAUGAAGGAUUAAAGAGUAAGCAAAAAGAAUUAAACUCCCACACGUCAGGUCGAGGUGUAGCGAAUGAGGUGGAAAGAAAUGGGCUACAUUUUCUAUUAAGAAAACACGGACAGUAAACUGAAAAAUUACUCCAAGGUGGAUUUAGCAGUAAGAAGAAAUAAGAAUAUUCUACUGAAGCCGGCUCUGAAGCGCGCACACACCGCCCGUCACUCUCCUCGCCAUAAACAUUACCAUUAUAUAAAAAAAUUUUAUUGAAAAGAGGAGGCAAGUCGUAACAUGGUAAGUGUACUGGAAAGUGCACUUGGAAU
RNAcentral lists this ribosomal RNA (477 nucleotides) under Hexanchus griseus. RNAcentral describes it as "partial 12S ribosomal RNA". It matches the Rfam family "Bacterial small subunit ribosomal RNA", at positions 854 to 1522 of the family's 1533-position model. Lineage: Eukaryota; Metazoa; Chordata; Chondrichthyes; Hexanchiformes; Hexanchidae. The record is from RNAcentral.